Molecule: long non-coding RNA, 817 nt
Organism: Bos taurus (domestic cattle)
Lineage: Eukaryota; Metazoa; Chordata; Mammalia; Artiodactyla; Bovidae
Source: Ensembl
GCUCUGGCUGGCUCCCAUCAGAUAUACGCCGGCUGUUGGCAAGCGGGAAGGAAGCAAGCUGCAGCAGGAACAAAGUCUGUCACCCUCCCAGAACUUGAAGUAGUUGCCGAGGGAAGUCAGCUGGCCCUGGGGGCCCAGGAAGAACAGGAAUGCUGGAAUAAAUUACACGGGUCGACGUCUUGGAGGCGAAGGCAUUCUGGCGCAGCGAAGAAACAAUACAGGUUGUCCUUGGGCCCAGCGGCUGAUCCUUGACCACCUGCUCCAGCCUUGACGUUGGGCAAAUUGGGAACGCUGUACGAGACUUCCUGUCUAAUACUUCCCUAGAUUUCCUGGAAUCCAAUUUGAAAAGCUGUUUCCCCUACAUCACCAAGGAGUUAAACCUUGGCUCUGCUCUCUGGUGACUAAUAGGCACCGUGUGGCUCUGAGCUCAGCGAGAAAGAAACUGACAGUCGGCGUGGGAAGCGUGUGAGAUUUCAGGGCUCUUGCGACGCCUUAGAUGGGCCUGGUGCGCAGGAGCAAGGAGGAUUGCCAUCGAGUGCCCUCAACUAUGUCCUUUUAUCAUGAAUUCUUGGGUUCUUCCUCUGAACUUUGCAUGAUUUUUAAUGAAGAUCUCCAGCUCCUUUGGGGGCCUUAUGUUACGGUGGUGUGUGAGUUAAUUCCAUGGAGAAGGAUAUUUUAAACAGCAAACAAAUUUCACCACUUUGAAAAAGAAUCCAUUUUGAUUGAAAACAGAGCGGAAACAACUGACCUGAUCAAAUCACACUUGAUGUGUGUUGGGGGUGGGGGGAUAUCUUCUUUCUACUCUUGCUGUUUGCUU